This 406-nucleotide unclassified non-coding RNA is filed under the name soil metagenome. RNAcentral's name for it is "partial contains 5.8S ribosomal RNA, internal transcribed spacer 2, and large subunit ribosomal RNA". The stretch from base 1 to 121 matches the Rfam family "5.8S ribosomal RNA", at positions 35 to 154 of the family's 154-position model. The record is from RNAcentral.
GUUGAAGAACGUAGCGAAAUGCGAUAAGUAAUGUGAAUUGCAGAAUUCAGUGAAUCAUCGAAUCUUUGAACGCACCUUGCGCCCUUUGGCCAUUCCGAAGGGCAUGCCUGUUUGAGUAUCAUGAACACCUCAACUCUUCAUGGUUUUCCAUGAUGAGCUUGGACUUUGGGGGUCUUGCUGGCCUGUGGGUCGGCUCCUCUCAAAUGAAUCAGCUUGCCGGUUUUUGGUGGGCAUCACAGGUGUGAUAACUAUCUACGCUUGUGGUUUUCCACCAGGGUAACCUUCAGCAGUGGAGGUUCACUGGAGCUUACAAAUGUCUCUCCUCUGUAAGGACAGCCCUUUGAAUGUUUGAUCUCAAAUCAGGUAGGACUACCCGCUGAACUUAAGCAUAUCAAUAAGCGGAGGA